RNAcentral lists this ribosomal RNA (435 nucleotides) under uncultured Phyllobacterium sp. Its description in RNAcentral is "bacterial SSU rRNA". It matches the Rfam family "Bacterial small subunit ribosomal RNA", at positions 8 to 491 of the family's 1533-position model. The record is from RNAcentral. Lineage: Bacteria; Pseudomonadati; Pseudomonadota; Alphaproteobacteria; Hyphomicrobiales; Phyllobacteriaceae.
AGAGUUUGAUCAUGGCUCAGAACGAACGCUGGCGGCAGGCUUAACACAUGCAAGUCGAACGCCCCGCAAGGGGAGUGGCAGACGGGUGAGUAACGCGUGGGAAUCUACCCAAUUCUUCGGAACAACUGAGGGAAACUUCAGCUAAUACCGGAUACGCCCUACGGGGGAAAGAUUUAUCGGAAUUGGAUGAGCCCGCGUUGGAUUAGCUAGUUGGUGAGGUAAUGGCUCACCAAGGCGACGAUCCAUAGCUGGUCUGAGAGGAUGAUCAGCCACACUGGGACUGAGACACGGCCCAGACUCCUACGGGAGGCAGCAGUGGGGAAUAUUGGACAAUGGGCGAAAGCCUGAUCCAGCCAUGCCGCGUGAGUGAUGAAGGCCUUAGGGUUGUAAAGCUCUUUCAGUAGGGACGAUAAUGACGGUACCUACAGAAGAAGC